Molecule: ribosomal RNA, 439 nt
Filed under: uncultured bacterium
Lineage: Bacteria
Description: partial 16S ribosomal RNA
Rfam family: Bacterial small subunit ribosomal RNA
Source: RNAcentral
CUACGGGCGGCUCCAGUAGGGAAUAUUGGUUAAUGGGCGAAAGCUUGAACCAGCAACGCCGCGUGCGCGAUGAAGGCCUUCGGGCUGUAAAGCGCUUUUUGAGGGGAUGAGAAAGGACAGUACCCUCAGAAUAAGUCUCGGCUAACUACGUGCCAGCAGCCGCGGUAAAACGUAGGAGGCGAGCGUUAUCCGGAUUUACUGGGCGUAAAGCGCGUGCAGGCGGUUCGGUAAGUUGGAUGUGAAAGCUCCUGGCUAGACUGGGAGAGGUCGUUCAAUACUGCCGGGCUAGAGGAUGGGAGAGGGAGGUGGAAUUCCGGGUGUAGUGGUGAAAUGCGUAGAUAUCCGGAGGAACACCAGUGGCGAAGGCGGCCUCCUGGCCCAUAUCUGACGCUCAGACGCGAAAGCUAGGGUAGCAAACGGGAUUAGAUACCCAGUAGUC